Python bivittatus (Burmese python) is the source of this 303-nucleotide long non-coding RNA. RefSeq lists it as uncharacterized. NCBI's taxonomy places the organism in Eukaryota, Metazoa, Chordata, Lepidosauria, Squamata, Pythonidae. The record is from RefSeq and is a predicted model, not a curated record.
GGAACACGAAGAGGUCGUUUUGCCUCAGCGUUGCAGGAAAAAGAUGGAAAAGCUAAACAGGGCUCCUCCUGUGAGAAAGUGUGCCCACCCUGGAGAUGUCUAUGCCGUUCUGGUCGCUGUAUCUUAAAAAGAAUAUUUAGAGUCGAGAGAACCACAUAUGGAUGUAGACAACGAACCGAUCACCAGGUGAUUAGCAGCAAUGCAACAUUAUUCAAGAAGAAAAGAGCGAAACGCACAUGCUUUUGUAGAGAGGCCUAUUACAAUCCAAGCUGUAACCCCAAUAUUAACAAUUCAUUAAACCUA